AGGUAAUAGAUACCCCGGUAGUCCACGCCCUAAACGAUGUCGACUGGUUGUUGGGGGUUUGACACUCUCAGUAAACGAAAGCUAAACGCGUGAAAGUCGACCGCCUGGGGAGUACGGCCGCAAGGUUAAAACUCAAAGGAAUUGACGGGGACCCGCACAAGCGGUGGAUUAUGUGGAUUAAUUCGAUGCAACGCGAAAAACCUUACCUACCCUUGACAUGUCCUGAAUCCCGCUGAGAGGUGGGAGUGCCCGAAAGGGAACGGGAACACAGGUGCUGCAUGGCUGUCGUCAGCUCGUGUCGUGAGAUGUUGGGUUAAGUCCCGCAACGAGCGCAACCCUUGUCAUUAGUUGCUACAUUCAGUUGGGCACUCUAAUGAGACUGCCGGUGACAAACCGGAGGAAGGUGGGGAUGACGUCAAGUCCUCAUGGCCCUUAUGGGUAGGGCUUCACACGUAAUACAAUGGCGCGUACAGAGGGUUGCCAAGGGGUGACCUGGAGCCAAUCCCACAAAGCGCGUCGUAGUCCGGAUUGCAGUCUGCAACUCG
This 545-nucleotide ribosomal RNA is filed under the name uncultured bacterium. RNAcentral's name for it is "bacterial SSU rRNA". It matches the Rfam family "Bacterial small subunit ribosomal RNA", at positions 774 to 1314 of the family's 1533-position model. The record is from RNAcentral.